GGGGCUAUAUCUAAUUAAUUCAUCAAACUAACACAUCAAUUAGUAUCGAAACCUUUAUAGCUGACCUUUCUCUCUUAGGGAUGGGUUCGCACAAAGCAUUAUCAAGAGUGUUCAAACCUCCUCUCCAGCACUGGGUAUCGAGGGAGAGGUUUCAACAUCUAUACCCUCCCCUUAACACACCAAUUAAUAUCGAAACCUUUAUAGCCGACCUCUCUCUCUUAGGGAUGGGUUCGCACAAAGCAUUAUCAAGAGUGUUCAAACCUGCUCUCCAGCACUGGGUAUUGAGGGAGAGGUUUUGAUAUCUAUACCCUCCCCUUAACACACCAAUUGAUAUCAAAACCUUUAUUAGUACUGACUUCUCUCUCUCAGGGAUGGGUUCGCACAAAGCAUUAUCAAGAGUGUUCAAACCUCCUCUCCAGCACUGGAUAUCGAGGGUCAGGUUUCGACAUCUAUACCCUCCCCUUAACACACCAAUUAAUAUCAAAACCUUUAUUACUGACCUCUCUCUCUUAGGGAUGGGUUCGCACAAAGCAUUAUCAAGAGUGUUCAAACCUCCUUUCCAGCACUGGGUAUUGAGGGAGAGGUUUUAACGUCUAUUCCCUUCCUUUAACACCAUAAGUUCCUAGUCCUCUCUCCUCCUAUGACUCCUGUCCACUACCUAACAGGCUAACUAGUUAACUACUGUAAGCGCUGGUUAUACUAAGUUACAAUAGGUGCACCUGACAAUCACCAAAUGUGGGGUACAAGCUUGGUGGAGGGACUUUUUUGGCAGCCAUAGCUGGCUAAAGAAUAGCCUAUCCAGAUAUUUUGUUUUUAUGUAUUAAUGAUCCACGAGACAUCCUAGAGUUAAAUCAAAGUAUGUGCUUAUCUUUGUAUUCACUCAUACACACACUGGUAAUAUUUCUAUGGUGCCUGAUUCACUUGUUUGAGCGAAAUUCUAUUGUGAAAAACAGUCACAUAUUUGUGUCACUGGUAAAAAUGAAACUAGUAAUGAAAGUUUUGCCACCAUGAAACAUACACAAAUAGAUAAAUAUGAAAGCUCACUUAGUCACAAUAAGUGACAUCAUCUGCUUUGCGCAGUAAAAAUAUACUAUUUGUGGUAUCAGACACCCGCAAAAUGGCGUAUGGGCUGACUCUGGUCAGCGGGCAACAGCCUCAACGUUGCCAGAUUGUCGUACUCAGCCGAUUAUAUUUCCCGAUUUAGUACCUGUAAACUGUCUUCUGGGCUCCAAUAACGAAACUAAUUUAUAGUUAUCGUUAAAAGAGUAAGAUCCUGAUGUUUCUUGGCAAUAGUUAGGCGCCAGAAACGGUAAAUACUGUGCUCUGAGUACGACAAUCUGGCAACGGUGCCUAUACGUAUUUUCAUAUUAUUGUUCUCUUGUUUAUUCAAUGUUCUAUUCAAGAAAAAGAAUACCCAUAAUUUUAGUUAGUUUUUGGUUAUAAGGAUUCUUUACGAAAUACAAUUAUAACAUUACCUUCUACUAGUUAGGAAACGUACGGAAUCCUGGAUCGGCUACAGUGAUGUUGGGUGCGCCUAUUAUCAUUCUCGGUCACUCUUUGGAUGGUGUGGAAGUGUCGGAAUACAGGCAACUCUCGAUUUACGCGAGUAUUGUGUCCUUGAAGAGGUCACGUAAAUCAAAAACAAUGUAAAUCAAACAAGAGGUAGGUUUGUACCUUUAUUGCCUACUGUAUCACUGUGACUCCUCUCCCUCUCGUGGUUCCUCCUCUGGCUGCCCUUCCCCUCGUGGUAGCACAGCAGCGAGGGUGUUAUUGUUGAGUAGCGUGGCAGUGUGGGUACUGUAUUGUUGUUCAAGUGGCGCGUGGUAAGAACUGAGCUCAGCUGUGUGGCCGCAGUGCCGUGUGAGUCCAGUUGCGUGAGACAUCUGGCGGCCACUUCAUAAAAUAUUGCGUAUAAGUGAAAAAAAAAAACGUGUAAAUUAAACAUUUAUUUGGAUUUUGGACCCCGCGUUAUUUUAAAAAUGCGUAAACCAAACUCGCGUAAAUCGAGAGUUACCUGUAUAUAUAUCACCACCCUGGUAAGCAGUCUGCCCAAGUCAUUUUUGCUCCUUUUUGGGAAAUCGAAAAAGUCUGUCACUCGUAAACAAUCUGCCCGUCAUUUUUCUGCUUUUGGGGAAAUCAAAAAAACUGUCCCAUUUUCUAAGUCUGCUGUAAACAAACUGCCUAAGUAUAUUUUUUUACGUUGGGGAAAUCGAGAAUAAUAAUAUCAUGUUCUUAUUUUUCACUUACUAGGCUAUUUGUAUAUUCCUCGAGGCAGCCUUUCUUUAACCUUAGGUGCUGCACACUCAUAACACACAAGGGAACGUUUAUGCAAGGGAUGUCGGUAUAAAUGUUUCUUCAUUUCUAUACAUAUUUAUUUCUUCACUCACUGGGCUAUUCAUAUAUUCCUUGAGGCAGCCUUUCUUUAACCUCAGGUGUGCACAGACUGAUACGACACAAGGGAACGUUUAUGCAAGGGAUGUCGAUAUAUAUAUUUCUUCAUUUCUAUACAUAUUUAUUUCUUCACUUACUAGACUAUUCAUAUAUUCCUCGAGGCAGCCUUUCUUUAACCUCAGGCGCUGCACACUCAUACGACACAAGGGAACGUUUAUGCAAGGGAUGUCGAUAUAUAUGUUUCUUCAUUUCUAUACAUAUUUAUUUCUUCACUCACUAGGCUAUUCAGUUAUUCCUCAAGGCACCCUCUCUUCAACCUUAAGUGUUCACAGACUCAUACGACACAAGGGAACGUUUAUGCAAGGGAUGUCGAUAUAUAUGUUUCUUCAUUUCUAUGCAUAUUUAUUUCUUCACUCACUAGGCUAUUCAUAUAUUCCUCGAGGCAGCCUUUCUUUAACCUUAGGUGUGCACAGACUCAUACAACACAAGGGAACGUUUAUGCAAGGGAUGUCGAUAUAUAUGUUUUUUCAUUUCUAUACAUAUUUAUUUCUUCACUCACUAGGCUAUUCAUAUAUUCCUUGAGGCAGCCUUUCUUUAACCUUAGGUGCUGCACAGACUCAUACAACACAAGGGAACAUUAUGCAAGGGCUGUCGGUAUAUUUCCUCCUUCAUUUCUAUACAUAAUUAUAUUUUCGCUCACUAGACUAUUCAUAUAAUCCUCAAGGCAGCCUUUCUUUAACCUUAGGUGCUGCACAGACUGAUACGACACAAGGGAAUGUUUAUGCAAGGGAUUUAUUUAUUAUUAUUAUUAUUUUUUUUUUUUUACAACAAAGGAGGCAGCUCAAGGGCACAAAAAAGGAAACAAUAAUAAAAAAGCCCGCUACUCGCUGCUCCUAAAAAAAAGAAUCAAAAGAGGUGGCCGAAAGAGAUCAAGUUCAGGAUGUCGGUAUAUAUACUAGGCUAUUCUUGAUUGUAUAUUCCGCUAGGCAGCAUUUCUUUAACCUUAGGAGUUUGCAGAGUCAUAUGAUGCAAGGGGACACUCAUACAAAGGCCUGUCGGUAUAUUUAUUUCAUUUAUUUAUUUAUUUUUGCAUUGACUAGGCUAUUCAUGAUUGUAUAUUCCUCUAGUUUCUUAAACCUUAGGAGUUUGCAGAGUCAUAUGAUGCAAGGGGAGACUCAUACGAAGGCCUGUCGGUAUAUUUAUUUCAUUUAUUUAUUUAUUUUUGCAUUUACUAGGCUAUUCUUGAUUGUAUAUUCCUCGAGGCAGCACUUCUAUAACCUUAGGCACUCCACAGACUCAUAUGAUGCAAAGGGAGACUCAUACGAAGGCCUGUCGAUAUAUUUAUUUCAUUUAUUUAUUUAUUUUUCCAUUUACGAGGCUUUUCUUGAUUGUAGACUCCUCGAGGCAGCACUUCUGUAACCUUAGGCACUCCACAGACUCAUAUGAUGCGAGGAAACACUCAUACGAAGGCCUGUCGAUAUAUUUAAUUUUUCACCCACUUAGUUUAGUUCAGGUAACUCUCAAUUUACGCGAGUAUUGUGUCCUUGAAGAGGUCGCGUAAAUCAAAAAUAAUGUUUAUCAAACAAGAGGUAGGUUUGUACCUUUAUUGCCUACUGUAUCACUCUGACUCCUCUCGCUCUCGUGGUUCCUCCUUUGGCUGCCCUUCCCCUCGUGGUAGCACAGCAGCGAGGGUGUUGUUGCUGUAGAGUAGCGUGGCAGCGUGGGUACUGUAUUGUUGUUCAAGUGGCGCGCGGGAAGAACUGAGCUCAGCUGUGUGGCCGCGGCGCCGUGUGAGUCCAGUUGCGUGAGACAUCUGGUGGCCACUCCAUAAAAUAUCGUGUAUAAGUGAAAAAACGUGUAAAUUAAACAUUUAUUUGGAUUUUGGACCCCGCGUUACUUAAAGAACGCGUAAACCAAACUCGCGUAAAUCAAGAGUUACCUGUAUCUCCUUUUUUGGGGUAGGAUUCAUACAAACAUUGAUGCAUUUCUUUCUUUCUUUCCCUCCUUCCUUCCUUCCUUAUUCCUUUUCCUUAUUAUUCCUUCCUUCCUUCCUUCAUUAUUUUAUUCCUAUCCUCUCAUUACUUAUUCCAUCAUUCUCUCCUUCCUUUCAUUAUCCUUUAUUCCCUUUCUCCUCUGUCAGUUAAUUUAUAUCCAUUUCUAGGGUACGAUAUAAACAAACAUUGGCUAUUUCUUAUUAUCAUUUCUACCCUCUUAUUUUACAUUAUUCCUUCCUUCCUUCAUUUAUUCCUAUCCUCUCAUUACUUAUUCCAUCAUUCUCUCCUUCCUUUAAUCCUCCCUCUCAUUACUUAUUCCAUCAUUCUCUCCUUCCUUUAAUCCUCCCUCUCAUUACUUAUUCCAUCAUUCUCUCCUUCCUUUAAUCCUCCCUCUCAUUACUUAUUCCAUCAUUCUCUCCUUCCUUUAAUCCUCCCUCUCAUUACUUAUUCCAUCAUUCUCUCCUUCCUUUAAUCCUCCCUCUCAUUACUUAUUCCAUCAUUCUCUCCUUCCUUUCAUCCUCCUUUAUUCCCUUUCUCCUCUGUCAGUUAAUUUAUAUCCAUUUCUAGGGUACGAUAUAAACAGAACAUUGGCAUAUAUCUUAUCAUUUCUACCCUCUUAUUUUACCAUAGUUUACCAUCUUUCUUUUGGGUUGUGAUCUGUGCAAACACUGAUUCAUUUCUCGGUGAUCAUUGCUACCAUAUCUCCUUAGUUUCCUCCUCUUUGGUUAUGGUUAAUGCAGAUAUCGGCACAUUUAUUUUUGCCAGUGCUACCCUCUUGAUAAUUUAGUAUCUCAAAGUCAAGGGAUGAAGCUCUUUAAAGUUCCUUGGGCUGGCUGGCGUACUUUAGGGUCCCGCUGGGCGAUUUUAUUUUAUUUUUUUCCCUUAUUUUUUUCUUCUAAUUUAGGUCACGAGUAAUUGUUCAUAGGAUUAAAGAAGAAAAAAUGGGUAAAUUCAGUCUUCAAGUGUGUGUGUGUGUGUGUUUUGGUGUACGUAGGGAGGAACAUAUUAUCACUGUUAUUUUUAUUUUACCGUAUGACAUAGAAGAUCAUUAUUUUUUUCCCUACCUCUAAGUCAGGUCAUCAUGGUUAGCGAGUGUUUCCAUGACUAAAAAAAAAGGGAAGGAAGGAUGAAAUGUGUGUGUGACCGUUUGUAUGGGCGUAAGCAGCAGAAACGGCACUGCAUAUUUUUUUCUUUACAUUUUCUAUCUACCGGCAAAUUGGGUCAACCAGGCGAAUGUUGUUUGAGGAGUAAGAUGCAAAGGAAAUUGAAAUGAAAAAAAUAAAGAGUUCGUGUGUGUCUGGUUAAUGGGGUCUUGGCGUGAAGGUGUUCUAUGGUUGCCUACACUUAAGAGUUCAAUUCAGUUACGUAAUGUUUUGAGCAAGGCAGGAAAGGAAAAAGAAAGAAGAAUGUAAAAAGUGCGUGAGUGUGUCUGGUUAAUGGGGUUUUGGCAUGAAGGUGUUCGAUGAUUGCCUACACUCAAGAGGUCAGUUCAGUUCAGUUAUGUAAAGUUUCAAGCAAGGCAGGAAAGGAAAAAGAAAGAAGAAUGUAAAAAGUGCGUGAGUGUGUCUGGUUAAUGGGGUUUUGGCAUGAAGGUGUUCGAUGAUUGCCUACACUUAAGAGGUCAGUUCAGUUCAGUUACGUAAAGUUUCGAGUAAGGCAGGAAAGGAAAAAGAAGAAUGUAAGAAGUGUGUGUGUCUGGUUAAUGGGGUUUUGGCAUGAAGGUGUUCGAUGGUUGCCUACACUUAAGAGUUCAGUUCAGUUCAGUUACGUAAUGUUUCGAGUAAGGCAGGAAAGGAAAAAGAAGAAUGUAAGAAGUGUGUGUGUCUGGUUAAUGGGGUCGCGGCGUGAAGGUGUUCGAUGGUUGCCUACACUCAAGAGUUCAGUUCAGUUCAGUUACGUAAUGUUUCGAGCAAGGCAGGAAAGGAAAAAGAAGAAUGUAAAAAGUGUGUGUGUCUGGUUAAUGGGGUCGCGGCAUGAAGGUGUUCGAUGGUUGCCUACACUUAAGAGUUCAGUUCAGUUCAGUUACGUAAAGUUUUGAGCAAGGCAGGAAAGGGAAAAGAAAGAAGAAAGUAAAGAGUUUGUGUGUGUCUGGUUAAUGGGGUCGCGGCAUGAAGGUGUUCGAUGGUUGCCUACACUUAAGAGCUCACUUCAGUUCAGUUACGUAAUGUUUCGAGCAAGGCAGGAAAGGAAAAAGAAAGAAGAAUGUAAAAAGUGUGUGUGUGUCUGGUCAUGGGGUCUCAUAUAUAAGAUUCUCAAUGGUUGUCUAUGCCUAAGAGUUGAGUUUCGUAAUGUUUUGAAUAAGGCGGAAAGGGAAAUGAAAGAAGAAUGUUAAGUGUGUGUGUGUGUGUCUGGUGAUGGGGUCUCAUAUACAAGAUUCUCAGUGGUUGUCUACACAUAAGAGUUGAGUUACGUAAUGUUUCAAAUAAGCUGGAAAGGGAAAAGAAAGGAGAAUGUUAAGAGUGUGUGUGUCUGGUUAAUGGGGUCUUGUCUUGAAGGUUUAUCAUAGUUGUCUAUACAUAAGAGUUUAGUCUCGUAAUGUUUCAAAUAUGGCAAAAAGAAUGUAAGUAAAGAGUUCAUGGAGUCUCGUCAUGAAGGUUUUCUAUGGUUGUAUACGCAUAAGAGUUUAGUCUCAUAAUGUUUCAAGUUAGGCAAGAAGGGAAAAGAGAGGAAGAGUGUAAGUAAGGAGUUCAUGUGUCUGGUUAAGGGGUCUUAGGGACGCUUUCACAGUCACGUUGUUAGUUUUGAUCGUUACCAAUGGCGGAGAUCGACACUAUGAUUUUCCACGUGAAACUGGCCUAUGGGGUAGUGGCGACUGCAAGAGGAAGCGAGAGGUGUUGAGAGUGUGUGGCAAGGUGCGGGACUAGGCUAACCCCGCAGCCGCCACUACCCCAUCGGCCAGUUUUACGUGGAAAUACUAUAGCGCGAUCGCCGCCAUUGGUAACGAUCAAGACAAACAAAGUGACUGAAAGCGGCCAUUAGUAUUCAAACUGACCCUCACACUUUACGAAUGACAUGUUCCUAAAAUAAUAAAAACAAGAAGAAGCAGUUUUCUGGUGUUUGUUAAUUGAAUGGUUAAAAAGGAAGAAAAUAAUAAAACAGACUAGGCUAACAAUACACCUGACCUCCACUUUACGAAUGAAUUACGCCCUUGAAGAAAACGCCGCAAGACAUAAAGUUAGAUGAGGAAAAAAGAGGAAAAGGUAAACCAAUAACCUGGCCUUUAAAUAUUCGUUGUGGAAAAUGAGAAAGGAGAGAAAAAUGAAGAUGAUAAGGAACAUAUGUGAGUGAAAAGAUUAUGAAAUGCUAAAAUUGGAAGUCAGAAUAUGGAAAAAAAAAAAAGUUUGGAAUUUUGUCGUACUUCAACCGAGCAAAGAUCAGUGAAAAGCAAUCUCCGUUAAACCCAAUCUAAGUUACGUAAGCAUUCAUAAAGUGGAGGUCACCCAUAAUCUAUAUUCUAAGGUAACUCAUUAUGUGUAAGAUAUCAAUUAAGAGGAAAAAAUGCUCAUCAUUACUGUAAAAAGAGGCUGAACGUUAGGCUAUGCAAGGCCAGGUAGACGUCAGGUAGCCUAGCCAAAGUAUAUAGAUGUAAUAAUAUCGUAAUAAACGCCUGUAUCCGCAAGCCUACGAAAUCUCGAGCUGUACGUAUAGAAUUAGGUCUAUAGGCGAACUUCCCGAGCUUACGAUACAAUUAGGUCUCUCGUCACGGCAGCUUUCGUUUAGUUAGUCUACGUAGAUCCCGAGUGUGCGCGCAUGUGUGUGUGUGCUACGGUGCUGUUACGACGCACUGCGAUGUACUACUAUUCCUGCACGUCCAAUAAACUGUACACCACACCCCAAGUUGGUUUCCGUUCACUCUUCGACACUUAACCUGUCCGCUGCGAUUGGCACGGAUUUGGCCUUCACUGGUAGCCUGGUAACAUACACUUCCAGGUCUUUCUCUGCCUCUGCGGUGGAUAGUGGAGUGUUUCCCAUGUGGUAUUGGUGUGCUGGAUAUCCCUUCACUGGUAGCCUGGUAACAUACACUCCCAGGUCUUUCUCUGCCUCUGUGGUGGAUAGUGGAGUGUUUCCCAUGUGGUAUUGGUGUGCUGGAUAUCCCUUCACUGGUAGCCUGGUAACAUACACUCCCAGGUCUUUCUCUGCCUCUGUGGUGGAUAGUGGAGUGUUUCCCAUGUGGUAUUGGUGUGCUGGAUAUCCCUUCACUGGUAGCCUGGUAACAUACACUCCCAGGUCUUUCUCUGCCUCUGUGGUGGAUAGUGGAGUGUUUC
Molecule: long non-coding RNA, 8650 nt
Organism: Eriocheir sinensis (Chinese mitten crab)
Lineage: Eukaryota; Metazoa; Arthropoda; Malacostraca; Decapoda; Varunidae
Exons: 4
Source: RefSeq, a predicted model, not a curated record